GACGAACGCUGGCGGCGUGCUUAACACAUGCAAGUCGAACGCUGAAGCUCAGCUUUUGUUGGGUGGAUGAGUGGCGAACGGGUGAGUAACACGUGAGUAACCUGCCCCCUUCUUUGGGAUAACGCCCGGAAACGGGUGCUAAUACUGGAUAUUCACUGGUCUUCGCAUGGGGGUUGGUGGAAAGGGUUUUUCUGGUGGGGGAUGGGCUCGCGGCCGAUCCGCUUGUUGGUGGGGUGAUGGCCUACCAAGGCGUUGACGGGUGGCCGGGCUGAGAGGGUGACUGGGCACAUGAGCGCUGAGAUACGGCCCAGGCUCCUGCGGGGAGCAGCAGUGGAGGAUAUAGCGCAAUGGGCGCAAGACUGAUGCGGCGACGGCGCGAGAGAGGUGGAGUCCUUCGGGUUGUGAACCGCUUUCGCUCAUGGUCAAGCCGCAACAAUGGUUGUGGUGAGGGUAGUGGGUAAAGAAGCGCCGGCUAACUACGUG
This 483-nucleotide ribosomal RNA is filed under the name uncultured bacterium. RNAcentral's name for it is "partial 16S ribosomal RNA". It matches the Rfam family "Bacterial small subunit ribosomal RNA", at positions 28 to 507 of the family's 1533-position model. The record is from RNAcentral.